This is a long non-coding RNA of Austrofundulus limnaeus, 414 nucleotides long. RefSeq lists it as uncharacterized. Lineage: Eukaryota; Metazoa; Chordata; Actinopteri; Cyprinodontiformes; Rivulidae. The transcript has 3 exons. The record is from RefSeq and is a predicted model, not a curated record.
GGAGGAGGUGUAACGUUAAUGGAGGAGGUGUAACGUGGAUGCAGGAGGUGUAACGUGGAUGCAGGAGGUGUAACAUGAAUGGAGGAGGUGUAACAUGGAUGCAGGAGGUGGAACGUGGAUGGAGGAGGUGUAACAUGGAUGCAGGAGGUGUAACAUGAAUGGAGGAGGUGUAACGUGGAUGCAGGAGGUGUAACGUGGAUGGAGGAGGUGUAACGUGGAUAGAGGAGGUGUAACGUGAAUGGAGGAGGUGUAACGUGGAUGCAGGAGGUGUAACGUGGAUGCAGGAGGUGUAACGUUAAUGGAGGAGGUGUAACGUUAAUGGAGGAGGUGUAACGUGGAUGCAGGAGGUGUAACCUGGAUGCAGGAGGUGUAACGUGGAUGCAGGAGGUGUAACGUGGAUGCAGGAGGUGUAAC